CAGGGAGCCUGAUGUGGGACUCUAUCCUGGACCCCAGGAUCUGAAGGCAGACACUCAACCAACCGCUGAGCCACCCAGGUGUCCCUGCAUUGAGAAUUAAAGGAGCAAAUGCAUCUUGAGGGUUUAGCACAGGGGCUGGCACACAGUAGGCAUGCAACAAAUGACAAUAAUCAUCCUCUCUACCUCACCCUCAUCAUCACAUUGUCAAAGUGCUUUGUAAACAAUGGGGUUCUAUAUGCAUGGGAAGUGAUAACACUAUGAUUCUUCAUGUUUCCUCUAGCUAUUCUGCUCUGGACCAAAAAGGUCACCAUAGACCUCACCUGUUCAUCUCAAAAGCCAGUCUUCCAUGAAGUGGGAUGGACCCUCUUUGGGUUCUUUGGAUUCAACACCUUCACUUGACCAAACAAGACCAUUCUUAGAGUGGAGUGGAAGUCUUCUUCUAGGAGCUUCCUCCAACAGAUAUUCUCAAUUUACCCUGGAGGCAGCCAGAUGGCAGCUGUUGGAAUGGAGGCUCAUCACUGGGACUUGGGUUGUAGACUUGAGAUGUGGAUUGACAAAAAAGCUUUUCUGUCAAUGUGUAGAAAGGAGGGAUAAAAUGGGAAGCCUCUCCUGUGUCUACUGCAAGAAUGUUGGUUAUGAUAAAGCGUCCAUACUUGUGAGAACCCUUGGGAGAGAUUCUUAUCUUAGAACAGUGAAUUAGAUGUUAGUGAACAGUGAACAGAUGAAUUAGAGCCAAGGCUCUGAAUUUAGGUGUUCUGUAUUCCAAUCCUUGUUCCACCCUCUGUUUAACCAUGGGCAAGUUGUGAGCUUUUUCUUCCCCAUUAGGGAAGAUAAUAAUAGUGCCUCUCUUGUAUAGGUGUAUGAGGAGUAGUAAACACCCAGUUGAUGCAAACUACUAUUAUAAGUCUCUGGGGCAACUGGUUUGUUCAAAUGGCGUGAUUGUUGUGGUUUAUGUCACUGAUCAAAUUUCCCUUUUCACACUGGCUGCUAGGAAGUUCAACAUCAGUCUUGUGAACCAACCACAGCAAAUUUCAAAUGUGCUUUUUGUGAAUGGGUGGUAUUCAUGGAUCCAUUUAUUAUCAUUUGUUUCUUGCUCUACUAUUUGUGUGUGUAGCUCGAUCUAACUUACAUGUCCUCGAAAUUGCCUUUUAUCCUUCUAGUAAGAGAUCUGGUAUCUUGGAUGAGAAGAUUCUGCUCACAUGUGGCUAUUUCAUCUCCUUAGUGAGACGGUGGGUUCCUCAAGAGCAAGGAUGGUCUCCGAGGCACUUUUUGACUCUCCCCUCCCCCCACAGUUAAGCUGAGUGGAUGAGUUGAUGAAAUGUUAGAAGGCAAAGAACUCAAAUAUGCUCUCUGCCUUAGCCAUAGGAGAGGAAAUAGCUGACCCGAGAUAUCUCUGCUCUCUCAAAUGUCUGUAAAACUAAAGGUCAGUGGCCAAUGUGCCAAUUUCCUGUGCUGCUUGGCCACAGACGUGUUAGAUCAGAGGGAGACUUUGUGGUCUGAGAGCUGCCUCACUGGCUGCUGGCAUGAGGAUUCAGACUCCAUUUUCUGGAGUAGCAGAGAUUGCACUGGCUCCCCCACCAACAUCUGUGUCAUCCUCUUCUUUUUAGAUGCACAUAAUGCAGAUCAUGUAUUUUAUAUCUUCUCAUGAAAAAUUGCACAUUUGGGCAACUCUGGGCCCCCAGUCUCACAUGGCAACCAUU
This is a long non-coding RNA of Vulpes vulpes (red fox), 1700 nucleotides long. NCBI's taxonomy places the organism in Eukaryota, Metazoa, Chordata, Mammalia, Carnivora, Canidae. The record is from Ensembl.